GAGACAGCAGCCGCCACGGUAAUACGGAGGGUGCAAGCGUUAAUCGGAAUUACUGGGCGUAAAGCGCACGCAGGCGGUCUGUCAAGUCAGAUGUGAAAUCCCCGGGCUUAACCUGGGAACUGCAUUUGAAACUGGCAGGCUAGAGUCUUGUAGAGGGGGGUAGAAUUCCAGGUGUAGCGGUGAAAUGCGUAGAGAUCUGGAGGAAUACCGGUGGCGAAGGCGGCCCCCUGGACAAAGACUGACGCUCAGGUGCGAAAGCGUGGGGAGCAAACAGGAUUAGAUACCCGAGUAGUCCCUGUCUCUUAUAC
RNAcentral lists this ribosomal RNA (308 nucleotides) under uncultured bacterium. Its description in RNAcentral is "partial 16S ribosomal RNA". It matches the Rfam family "Bacterial small subunit ribosomal RNA", at positions 505 to 807 of the family's 1533-position model. The record is from RNAcentral.